AUCCAGGAUCUUGAUCUCAGCUAAGGCUUGUAUUUAAUCAGCAAUGUGCUGGUCCCAUUUCAAGAAAGAUAAAGCAUUGAUUUACGUCCCAGGAGACAAAGCGGGUAGAGUGCUUCAUCACAGGUUAGGUACAUGUGCUUCUCAGAAUAGGAUCACUGAGAUGUCUAAUGAUUACAGUAUUUCUACAAGAUUCACAAUCUGAUCAAAGACCAAGGGACUUAUUAACCGUCUAUAAAAGUUCUAGUAAUAAUUAUGUAAAUCUAAAUCAAUUUACCUACAGUAAACAACAGCCAGAGAUGCCAACUCAAUCUGCCGAUCAUAAACGGCUAUGCACCAGGACGGCUUCGGGCCAGAUGGUUUCCUGGCAGAAUCCUUCCAGCAAUUCGCAGAUAUUUUAGCCCUUAUUUAAUCAGUAUUGUAACGGCCGACAGAACCGACGAAAGAAAUAUAUCUGCAGCAAUCCUUGCUGAUAGACUAGGAUUAGUCAUGGAAGAUCUGGCCUUAACUGACCAACUGGGCUUUAUGCCAUUUAAGCAAACCCGUGAUGCUACUCGCUGGAUUAUGGACUUAUUACAAGUGGUAGGUUCCCCUGCAGCAUUUCUUGUGCCUGCUUUUCAUCAGUUCCACCGGGGUUCCUGUCGACCACACUUAAUACAGACGGCUUCUGGCUAAUGGCACUGGACAGGGAUGUCCCUUGUCUCCCCUGUUAUUUAACCUGACCU
Bufo bufo (common toad) is the source of this 722-nucleotide long non-coding RNA. RefSeq lists it as uncharacterized. NCBI's taxonomy places the organism in Eukaryota, Metazoa, Chordata, Amphibia, Anura, Bufonidae. The transcript has 3 exons. The record is from RefSeq and is a predicted model, not a curated record.